Molecule: ribosomal RNA, 253 nt
Filed under: uncultured bacterium
Lineage: Bacteria
Description: partial 16S ribosomal RNA
Rfam family: Bacterial small subunit ribosomal RNA
Source: RNAcentral
CACGUAGGGCGCGAGCGUUGUCCGGAAUUAUUGGGCGUAAAGGGAGUGUAGGCGGUUUGUUAAGUCUUCUGUGAAAUCUACGGGCUUAGCCUGUAACGUGCAGAGGAAACUGACAGGCUUGAGUGUCGGAGAGGAUAGGGGAAUUCCCGGUGUAGAGGUGAAAUUCGUAGAGAUCGGGAGGAACACCAGUGGCGAAGGCGCCUAUCUGGCUGACAACUGACGCUGAGACUCGAAAGCAUGGGGAGCAAACAGG